CGCUGGCGGCGUGCCUAACACAUGCAAGUCGAGCGGGGACAUGCGACGGAUAUGAAGUUUCGGAUGGAGUUGAAGAUGUAUGUUCUAGCGGCGGACGGGUGAGUAACGCGUGAACAAUCUGUCCUUCACAGGGGGAUAACACAGCGAAAGUUGUACUAAUACCGCAUGAGACCACGGUACUGCAUGGUACAGGGGUCAAAGGAGCAAUCCGGUGAAGGGUGAGUUCGCGUCCGAUUAGAUAGUUGGUGAGGUAACGGCCCACCAAGUCGACGAUCGGUAGCCGACCUGAGAGGGUGAUCGGCCACAUUGGGACUGAGACACGGCCCAAACUCCUACGGGAGGCAGCAGUGGGGAAUAUUGGGCAAUGGGGGAAACCCUGACCCAGCAACGCCGCGUGAGGGAAGAAGGUUUUCGGAUCGUAAACCUCUGUCCUAGGUGAAGAGGAAGAGACGGUAGCCUAGGAGGAAGCCCCGGCUAACUACGUGCCAGCCGCCGC
This 496-nucleotide ribosomal RNA is filed under the name uncultured bacterium. RNAcentral's name for it is "bacterial SSU rRNA". It matches the Rfam family "Bacterial small subunit ribosomal RNA", at positions 34 to 518 of the family's 1533-position model. The record is from RNAcentral.